CCUGCUGGCCGGACUCCAAGACACAGUCUUACAUAAUGCCUUGCUGCGAAGACAAUGUACUUGCCAAAGUAUGAAGAUAAGUGAUUCCUUUGCCGGUCGAGUUGUGAAAGUUUUUAGAAAUUCUCUUAAGCUCGUUAGGAGAUUUAAAGGAUCUGGGUAAAUCUAUCAGACACCCUUUUUAUUCUCUCCGUUGGAAAUACACAUUAGCCAACUUACUGCUGGCAUCAAGAACGAAACUAUUGACUCUCGUAGUUCGAUAAAGUCGUACAGCCAGUACAGUGUUUUGCGCUCGGCACUUUCCGAACACGAUGGAGAAUGCUGAUACAUAUUCAUGGAUCGCAUAGCCCUGGGUGCAUGCAAAGUGCUCAUUGUCACGAUUCAACAAGGAGUGAAUAUGCAAUCACUUCCGAAGAAACGCAUAGGGAGAAACACGACCUGCGCCAUGCGUGCUCUAUGA
This is a long non-coding RNA of Cephus cinctus (wheat stem sawfly), 457 nucleotides long. RefSeq lists it as uncharacterized. The record is from RefSeq and is a predicted model, not a curated record. NCBI's taxonomy places the organism in Eukaryota, Metazoa, Arthropoda, Insecta, Hymenoptera, Cephidae. The transcript has 3 exons.